Molecule: non-coding RNA, 2026 nt
Organism: Phascolarctos cinereus (koala)
Lineage: Eukaryota; Metazoa; Chordata; Mammalia; Diprotodontia; Phascolarctidae
Source: RefSeq, a predicted model, not a curated record
AACCCCAAGUGGGGUCACAAAGAGUCAGACGUGGCUGAACAACAACAAUAAAUAUUUGUAAGACUGUAUUGAGGGAUGAGAAUAGAGAUGGGGUACACAGGAGGGAUAGUAUGAAGGCAGAAAUGACAGGGUUUGCCAACUGAUUCCUGAUGGAGGGCAAGAGUGACUAGAAGGAUGAUGGUAUGAUUUAUAGUACUGGUGAAGUUAGGAAGAGGGAAGAGUUGGGGAGGGGAAUCAUGUGUUUAGUUUUGGACACAUUGAGUUUUAGAUGUCUACUAGACCUCCUGUUCCAUAUGUCCAAUAGGCAUUUGGAAAUACUCCACUGCAGGCCUCCAAUUCUAGACUGAAGGUCUCUAAUUCCAGACUUGGAGGUCUCCAAUCACAGACUUGGAGAUCUGUUCAAGACUGGAGGUCUCCAACUCUUGGUUUCCUUCAGGUCACAGCUAAAAUCUCACUCAUUACAAGAUGCCUUUCCAGGUCCCCCUUAAUUCUAGGGCCUUCUUUCUGUUGAUUAUCUCAAAUUAAUCCUGUAUUUAUCUUGUUGAUAUAUAGUUAUUCCUAAUUAACAUAGACUAUGAGCUGCCGGUGCAGGCACAGAGUAGACACUUACUAAAUGUUUCUUGACCAAUAAAAAUUUGUUUAAUUUAAUUUUCUAAUUGAAUCGAGAAAGUAGUGGGGGAGAACGGAGGAUGCUGAGAGGAGUUCUGAAGUGUGGAAUAAGGGAGAAGGGGGAGCUUACUGUGAAUGCCUUUAAUUUUCUCAUUGAAGUCAGAGGAAAUUCUUUGCUAAGCAGAAUAAAGGACAGGAACUUAAAAUAAAAAAAGAAGAAACUCACACUUUCACACCCUUCCCCAAAGGCCAUGAUAUCACCCCUACACACACACACACACACACACACACACACACACACACAAAUUCACUUUCCGCAACACUCCACAUUCUAAACAUUCAAUUUCACAAGACACCCUAAACAGAAAAGACAUUCGAUUUUUGAAAAUAUACCCCCACACCAGCCACUAGAUUACAAGAAGCCCACUCCACACACACACAUUUACUUUCACGUGCACCUCCUCCCUCCAUAUACAACGAUACAGACACUCCCUUUCUCGAGCACACCACAACACCGAGCACGCUCCCCUUCCAACACACGCACCCAGGAUAACUCACACACACUUUCGGCCCCGUCCUCCAAGCGGUGGGUGGGGCGGGGCUGCUGCUCCUUCUCAGUUCCCAGGCAACCAGAGCUCUGGGAUCUCCUCGCCAGCAAAGCCAAACAGUCUCAGGAGGGUUCCCUCGACCUCCCUCACCCCAGUCCCAGCACGUCCCGCAGUCCCAGACAAUUCACAGAAGCCGCUUCAAAGCCCACUCGGUCUGGGCGUUCGUGGGUGUAGGAUCCGGGAAGGGGCCGGCGGGGAAGGGGCUUUGGGAGAGACCAUCAGGCACGCUCCAGGAGCCUUUAGUUAGCCCAGGCGGGUGGAGACAGGAUUCAGCAAAUCCCUCCCCUCUCCUCGAGCAAUCCAGUGCUUCGGGGAAGGGGGGGUGAUCAGGGUGGGGCCAGGAAUCCCCACGACCUGGCUGCUGGACAGAGGUGCCCCACGGUGGCCUGCUGGGGGGAGCUCGAUAUUGGGUCCCCUCCCUUGCCUCAGUUCUCGGGAUUGGAGCACACAGUAGGCUCGAGAAAUGCUUCCGCAGCUGGGAACUAAUGCAGUGCAUGGACUCGCAGAAUUUGAGUGGCCUUAGAGGUCGGUUGCUCUAAUUGCUAGUAGUAGGGCCAUUAUCAAAAACGAGGGUGGGGGUUUGAAGGGCAGCAGGGUGCCUUCCUGCUCCAACAUUCUGUGUUCUAAGGGCCCUUUCCGCUCUUCCAUUCUGGGAUCUUAAGACUGCUGUCUACCUCUACAUACCUGCUCCCUGGGUCACGUAGGGAGGAAGUGGCCUAGUGGAGUCGUAGCCCUGGAUUUGGAGUCAAUGACCUGCGUUUAUGUCUUUGCCAACUUACUAGCCCAGGUGACCUUGACUGGGCAAAUCA